Cephus cinctus (wheat stem sawfly) is the source of this 425-nucleotide long non-coding RNA. RefSeq lists it as uncharacterized. The record is from RefSeq and is a predicted model, not a curated record. Lineage: Eukaryota; Metazoa; Arthropoda; Insecta; Hymenoptera; Cephidae. The transcript is spliced from 3 exons.
CGGCGAGAAGGAAAGAACUAGACUUUCCGGUUACGCAAGAAUUAGAAAAGUUUUUGGGCUUAGAUCACGGUCCUUUAUUGGCCCGUUACAGGGUUGUCAACCUCCGUGAGACGACUGGCUCUAGUACAAGAUGUACAUAUCGACCUGACGACUGGCGAGUAGCCUGUCUGGGAUGCUUCAUGUACAUAGUCCAGAUGAACCAGCACGGAAUAGAUUCAUGCUCUUUGAACGAGGUCAUGAACCUGGACGGGUCCCAUUUAAAGGACCGAAACUAGUCGGACGAGUUGAACGGCCUAUUUCUGGCAGUAAGUAGGACAGAGGCCGCAGCGCUCGAGCAAGAUGUAAACACGAGAGUGCAGGAGCACUGAGAGCACCGGUUGGUCCAGCGGCACAGAGAUUCGCAGAAGAAUGAAAAAGCAUAAUUU